This is a non-coding RNA of Acanthosepion pharaonis, 108 nucleotides long. NCBI's taxonomy places the organism in Eukaryota, Metazoa, Mollusca, Cephalopoda, Sepiida, Sepiidae. The record is from the annotation of a GenBank genome assembly.
UAGCCAUAUCACGUUGAAACUACCAGUUCCCAUACUAUCACAAAAGUUAAGCAAUGUCGAGUCAAGUCAGUACCUAGAUAGGUGACUGCUUGGGAAUACCAGGUGCUA